This 483-nucleotide ribosomal RNA is filed under the name uncultured Syndiniales. RNAcentral describes it as "SSU rRNA". It matches the Rfam family "Eukaryotic small subunit ribosomal RNA", at positions 610 to 1098 of the family's 1831-position model. Lineage: Eukaryota; Dinophyceae; Syndiniales. The record is from RNAcentral.
UUGUUGCGGUUAAAAGCUCGUAGUUGGAUUUCUGUCGAAAACGGCCGGUCCGCACUAUGUGCGUGUAUCUGGUUCGGUUUUGGCAUCCUCAUGAAGAACGUAACUGCGCUUGAUUGCGUGGUGCGGUAUUCAUGACUUUUACUUUGAGGAAAUUAGAGUGUUCACGGCAGGCAAGCGCCUUGAAUAUAUUAGCAUGGAAUAAUAAUAUAGGACAUGGGUUCUAUUUUGUUGGUUUCUAGAACUUAUGUAAUGAUUAAUAGGGAUAAUUGGGGGCAUUCGUAUUAACGCGUCAGAGGUGGAAUUCUUGUAUUGCGUUACGACGAACUACUGCGAAAGCAUUUGCCAAGGAUGUUUUCAUUGAUCAAGAACGAAAGUAUGGGGAUCGAAGAUGAUUAGAUACCGUCGUAGUCUAUACCAUAAACUAUGCCGACUAGAGAUUGGAGGUCGUUCUUUUUAUGACUCCUUCAGCACCUUAUGAGAAAU